Molecule: small nuclear RNA, 131 nt
Organism: Hylaeus volcanicus
Lineage: Eukaryota; Metazoa; Arthropoda; Insecta; Hymenoptera; Colletidae
Product: U4 spliceosomal RNA
Exons: 1
Source: RefSeq, a predicted model, not a curated record
AUCCUUGCGGGAGGAGCGCUGUCGUUGCACGUGACGCUUUGCGGAUGCGCGAUUAUUGCUAGUUGAAAACUACUCCAAUUCCAGUCUAAGAUGCUUAUUGUAUUCUUAGCAAUUUUUGAGGCUUCCGAGCU